GAUGAACGCUGGCGGCGUGCUUAACACAUGCAAGUCGAACGAUGAAGCCCAGCUUGCUGGGUGGAUUAGUGGCGAACGGGUGAGUAACACGUGAGUAACCUGCCCUUAACUCUGGGAUAAGCCUGGGAAACUGGGUCUAAUACCGGAUAGGAGCGUCCACCGCAUGGUGGGUGUUGGAAAGAUUUAUCGGUUUUGGAUGGACUCGCGGCCUAUCAGCUUGUUGGUGAGGUAAUGGCUCACCAAGGCGACGACGGGUAGGCGGCCUGAGAGGGUGACCGGCCACACUGGGACUGAGACACGGCCCAGACUCCUACGGGAGGCAGCAGUGGGGAAUAUUGCACAAUGGGCGCAAGCCUGAUGCAGCGACGCCGCGUGAGGGAUGACGGCCUUCGGGUUGUAAACCUCUUUCAGUAGGGAAGAAGCGAAAGUGACGGUACCUGCAGAAGAAGCACCGGCUAACUACGUG
This 466-nucleotide ribosomal RNA is filed under the name uncultured bacterium. RNAcentral describes it as "partial 16S ribosomal RNA". It matches the Rfam family "Bacterial small subunit ribosomal RNA", at positions 28 to 507 of the family's 1533-position model. The record is from RNAcentral.